CCUACGGGAGGCAGCAGUCGAGAAUCAUUCACAAUGGGGGAAACCCUGAUGGUGCGACGCCGCGUGGGGGAAUGAAGGUCUUCGGAUUGUAAACCCCUGUCAUGUGGGAGCAAAUUAAAAAGAUAGUACCACAAGAGGAAGAGACGGCUAACUCUGUGCCCGCAGCCGCGGUAAUACAGAGGUCUCAAGCGUUGUUCGGAAUCACUGGGCGUAAAGCGUGCGUAGGCUGUUUCGUAAGUCGUGGGGGAAAGGCGCGGGCUCAACCCGCGGACGGCACCUGAUACUGCGAGACUAGAGUGAUGGAGGGGGAACCGGAAUUCUCGGUGUAGCAGUGAAAUGCGUAGAUAUCGAGAGGAACACUCGUGGCGAAGGCGGGUUCCUGGACAUUAACUGACGCUGAGGCACGAAGGCCAGGGGAGCGAAAGGGAUUAGAUACCCCUGUAGUC
Molecule: ribosomal RNA, 446 nt
Filed under: uncultured bacterium
Lineage: Bacteria
Description: partial 16S ribosomal RNA
Rfam family: Bacterial small subunit ribosomal RNA
Source: RNAcentral